GGAAGUAAAAGUCGUAACAAGGUCUCCGUAGGUGAACCUGCGGAGGGAUCAUUACUGAGUGAGGGCCUCUGGCCCGACCUCCAACCCCAUGUUAUCUGACACUGUUGCCUCCGGGGCGACCCGGCCUGCCUUCGGGCGAUUCGGGGCCCCGGGUGGACCAUUCAACUCUGCAUCUUUGCGUCUGAGUAAAUGAUUGAAUCAAUCAAAACUUUCAACAACGGAUCUCUUGGUUCUGGCAUCGAUGAAGAACGCAGCGAAAUGCGAUAAGUAAUGUGAAUUGCAGAAUUCAGUGAAUCAUCGAAUCUUUGAACGCACAUUGCGCCCCUUGGUAUUCCGAGGGGCAUGCCUGUUCGAGCGUCAUUACACCACUCAAGCCUCGCUUGGUAUUGGGCGCCGCGGUCCGCCGCGCGCCUCAAUGUUUCCGGCUGAGCUCUCUGUCUCUAAGCGUUGUGGUUAAAACUAUCCGCUUGCGAGAUCGGGGGGCGUCUGGCCGUUAAACCAUUACUCAAAGGUUGACCUCGGAUCAGGUAGGGAUACCCGCUGAACUUAAGCAUAUCAAUAAGCGGAGGA
Molecule: ribosomal RNA, 570 nt
Filed under: Neocatenulostroma germanicum
Lineage: Eukaryota; Fungi; Ascomycota; Dothideomycetes; Mycosphaerellales; Teratosphaeriaceae
Description: eukaryotic LSU rRNA
Rfam family: 5.8S ribosomal RNA (bases 207-360)
Source: RNAcentral